Molecule: long non-coding RNA, 1194 nt
Organism: Phyllostomus hastatus (greater spear-nosed bat)
Lineage: Eukaryota; Metazoa; Chordata; Mammalia; Chiroptera; Phyllostomidae
Exons: 4
Source: RefSeq, a predicted model, not a curated record
GCCAGUGCCGCCGGAGCCGGGGCCUGCCCGGCAGAGCGGGUGGCCGGGCUCCCGGCCUGCCAUCCCCCCGCCCCGCGUAGCCUCGGGGAGGGACGUGUGUCUCGGAAAUCGCCGCUCCGCCAGAACCGGGCUGUGCGAGAUGACAGAGAGGACAGUCCCCUACUGAUCUCAGCGGGUUGGUGGUUCGAGGCGAGCUGGCCACCGUGCCUGCAGAGGAACCGCCUGCUACCCUGUUGGGGACUGCCCUGCCUGGUUUCAGAAGCUGUAACCCCCGCCAAGGCUAAGGCUGAGGGAGCGACCUUGGACGACAGGACGCACACCGCGGGCCUUCUCCUGACGUUACUUCUGGGAGAUUCUUCUCGCACCUGUACCCGCACCUUCCCUUCCACCUCCUCCUCUGCAGCCGCGCGGACGCACAGUCACCCACCGGGCCGGGCUCUGGCUGACGGACGCCUGGGUGGUUUCCAGCAGACGACUCCGCAGUGAACGACCUUGUCCCGUUCAAGUUCACGUCACGAGGACAGCCACAGGGGGAGGCCUAGCAGCCAAAGCGGGCGAUCGUUAGGAACCCAGGAGGUGCUGCCAAAACUCCCAGCACACGAGUUGUUCCGGUCUACACCCCCACCAGUGACACAGCAGAAUGUUUAUGUUCUGUUUGGUGUUACCAACCUUCCAGCUUUUUUCCUCUGAGUGGGAACGACGGGAGAAAGAUGCCAGCUCAUUUUUCCACUGUUUACCUCUUUCCAGAGCUUCUGUCGGACUGUUAGUCUUCCCCCCUCGAGCUGCAAAAGCUGUCUUACGUUAGGAAGAUGUGUUUAGAAACGGAUGUUUCUCUAGGGACGUCGGUGAGAGGCUCGGGGCGUCUGCCAGUCCCACCGCCGCGAGCAUUCUGUCGCACAGCGAGCUGGUUUUCGGAUUCUGUUGAUGUAAUCGCAGCUGAAGAGCUCUGACAACUCGCUGAGGCCGGCGCGCCAUCCUGACCCUCACGGAACAAACACCAGAGUCCUAGCUCCGCGCAGGCGGUAAAUGCUCCACUUCUGCCCCAGAAAAGUGCUCUUUCGGGGGGCGGGGCAGGGGCUGGGGUCGCCGCUUGUCCACCAUGCUUCUGUGUUUCCCUUGCCGUCACACUUGUUCCUGUAGUUUUGACUUCACUGUAUUUUCCAGGUUUUCUACACUGAUCAUAUAUUACUACCA